GCUCCUUGAAUAAAAAGUAUAAGGAGUCGUACCUGCCCGGUGGACUACGGUCUAAACGGCGGCAGCUAAAACUGCCCUAAGGUAGCGCAAUAAAUCGUCCUUUAAUUGGGGAAAAGUAUGAAUGGUUUGACGUGGAGCAACUGUCUCAAUUGUAUAGAGUGAAGUUUCCUUUUAAGUGAAAAGGCUUAAGUAUUUGUAAAAGAAGAGAAGACCCUAUCGAGCUUGAUUAAGUUAGGUAAUUAGGUUAAUUUAUAAAUUAUUACAUUUUUAAUAUAGUUUUUAAUAGUUACUCGUUUCGUUUUAUUUUAGUGUUUUAAAUAUAUUAAAUAAUAGAAAUUACUUUUAGAGGUAUUUCAAUAUUUAUUUUGUCAAUCUAAUCAAACUGAAGUUUUGUUGGGGCAACAAAGAGCUAAAAAGAACGCUCUUUAGUUUAUAUGAAGAUCCUAUAUGAUAGAAAAAGAGCAAAAGCUACCGUAGGGAUAACAGCGUAAUUUUUCUUUCGAGACCUUAUUGGAAGAAGAGUUUGCGACAUCGAUGUUGAAUUAGGGGUAUCUUUCGGUGCAGCCGCUGCGAGGAUGGGACUGUUCGUCCCGUUGUUCCCU
This 602-nucleotide ribosomal RNA is filed under the name Circe scripta. RNAcentral describes it as "partial large subunit ribosomal RNA". It matches the Rfam family "Bacterial large subunit ribosomal RNA", at positions 1818 to 2597 of the family's 2925-position model. Lineage: Eukaryota; Metazoa; Mollusca; Bivalvia; Venerida; Veneridae. The record is from RNAcentral.